UACGUAGGCAGCGAGCGUUGUUCGGAGUUACUGGGCGUAAAGGGUGUGUAGGCGGUUGUUUAAGUUUGGUGUGAAAUCUCCCGGCUCAACUGGGAGGGUGCGCCGAAUACUGAAUGACUUGGAGUGCGGGAGAGGUGAGUGGAAUUCCUGGUGUAGCGGUGAAAUGCGUAGAUAUCAGGAGGAACACCGGUGGUGUAGACGGCUUUCUGGACCGUAACUGACGCUGAGACACGAAAGCGUGGGUAGCAAACAGG
RNAcentral lists this ribosomal RNA (254 nucleotides) under uncultured bacterium. RNAcentral's name for it is "partial 16S ribosomal RNA". It matches the Rfam family "Bacterial small subunit ribosomal RNA", at positions 524 to 776 of the family's 1533-position model. The record is from RNAcentral.